AAAGCAAUCUAAGCAAAAAUGAAGAGAAAAGGUCGGCAACAUGGCUUCGUUCGAACCGGGAUGAUUCAUCCAUCGGGAUUUAAUCCAAGACCCUCCAACCAAUUCGUGAACCGGCUUGAUUCACCACCAGUUAUUGGAGUAUUUACCAAAGUGCCAUCAAAACCUACUAAUCAUUCAAAAUCUUCAAGACAUAUAUAUUAUAAUACUAGGAGUAUUCCGGCGCUACGCGCCGGGUUCGUAUAUUUUAUUAUUUAUGAAAUUGAAAAGGGUUUGUUUGAUCUAUUUUAAUAUGUGAGUAUGACGCUGUGAAAAAGGAUAGAUUUUAGAACUAUGGAAAACAAUUAGUUUCUAAAAUUAUUAGAAAAGCCAAAAAGUACAUCAAUGAAACCGGGAAUUAAAACAUAAGAAACCUCAUAUUAAAUUGAAGUGAUCCGAAUAUCAUAGAUUGCUUUCCUUACAUAUGGAACAACUUCUAUUUCUACGAAGCCAGUACUCAAUGCAUGGAAAAUGGAAAUUAUGGCCGCAAGGAAGAUAGCAUAUAUUGUUUCCAUAGUUGUAAUUUUCGAAGCGCACAUCCACUUUUUUCUUCCACAAUUGGAGGCCUAUUAAUCGACAUCUAGUCUUGCAGUUGCGUAUGGGUUGUUGUUCGUUGGUAACCGUUAUUUGAAGAUCAAAAUUCAUGUUGGUUGAGAAUACAUUCUUCACGUAUUGGGCAGUGUGAUGAAUAAGCAAUGCGGAGCCAAGGUGGUUAAUGUUACGGUAUGAUAACAUGAAUUCUAUGCCCUCAGUUGUUGAUGAGUCAGAUAUAUUACCUUGAUGGUUGGUGAUACAUGGGAGCUGGAAAUCAGUGAUAGAUUAUUGUGUAAUGGGUCAAUGGAUGAAGAUCUGGAUUGUUUGCUGCGGAAUUCUGUUUUAAUGUCUUGUUUGGUUUGAGAAAUGAUAAGAGAAUAGUGGUUCAUUAUUCAUUUUUGCCCUUGUGUGAGUAUUGUUUGUUGUAUUUAGGGUUAGGGGUGGUAGCUAUAUCAUAUAUAAGUUAAUAGAUUUUUUUCUUUUCUUUUUGUAUCAGUUUGUUUUAAAGACCACUUAAGUCGAGUAAAUGGUUUUUGUUGAAUUGACUCUCUUUUUUAUUAAUAAUUUUUCAAGCAGCUCUUAAAUACGAUGUUGAACCUUACUAAUAAUUGAAGCAUUAUUUAAUUAUGGUAAAAGAUUCUUAUGGUGUAAAGUAGUAUCGUUAUGUGAAUUUAUAAUUUUAAAGUUUCAUGGAGUUGCUAAAAAUUUAGAGUAAAGUGUAGCGUAAAAUUUGGAUUUUGUAAUUUUCAUUUAAUAGACUAUACGAUUUCGGAAAUUAUUAGAAUUUACAUGUAUUGUAUUCUUUUUUUUUUUGUAGUAAAACUACGUAGUGUUCGUUUGUAGCGUGGAAUGAGAAGCAUUGCCUUUAAUAUAUGAAGUUUUAUGGUGUUAUGAGCCACUACUAUAGAUAUUUCUGUGGCGUUACGUGUUUAGCUUUGCCUAGCAAAUAAGUUUAGUGGAUAUUUUAGUUAAGAAAAUAUUGGUUACAUAGUUUAUAUCUAUUUAAAAUGAGAUUGUUAAUUGAUAAAAUUUCAAAUAUAAAUAGAUUAAAUUUAUUUAUUUUAGGAUUUCAGAAGUACAAACAGGUUUCAAUUAAUGAACAAAAUUAGAUUCAUCAUUCAUGUUAUCAGCAAGUGUUAGACGACCUUCAGCAUCUGUGUUGUUGACCUGAAAAUACCAUUGCCAACAGUUAGCAUCGCCAUAGGAUAAACAGCAAAAGUCUCAAACCUGAAUACAUAAAUCAUAUGAUACCUCAAUGGUCUUUCUGUUUGAGGCUGUGAUGACAUCACCAGGUCUCUCAUUCCAGUUCCACUAAUCAUAUUCUCAAAGGCUGCAACGAUGAAAUGAACCUGGUUGUGGAACACCAGUUGGUUAGUUAUGUUAAGAAAGCUCUAGCUUCAAAAGAAUGUGAAUGGGAGAAGCUUACCCCAACACCAGGACGCUUAAUCUCACCAAUAGCUUUCGCAGCACCAAGAACAGCAGCUGAAUCACCCAUGUCGAAUUUCAUGAGCUCAAUAGAGGAGCCAGGUCAGCCACCACUGUGAACACAAGACUCUCAAUCAACAACCACUAAAACAUCACCAAUACAAAAACAGAUGUGGAAUGCUUAAAGUGAUCACCUGUCAAAGGUCAAUCCUUUUCCAAUAAGUGCAAGUUUGGUUUUAACAGAGCCACUCUGAGGUCUAUCACAAGGUGGAUGAAGAAGGGAGGAUCAGCCGAAGCAGCAGGAACAGCGAGAUAAGAACCCAUCUUCAACUCUCUGCACUGCUCCUCGUUCAAGAUGUUUGCAGUGAACACAUCACUGUUAUGUAGAAGCCACUUUUGCUGCUUCGUCAGCAAGCACAGCUGAAACAACACAAAACCCAUAGCAGAUCAGGACAAUCUCACAAUAUAAACAAAGCAAUUGAUAUCCACAGAUCCAUACCGGGAGUGAGCACAUUGGCAGGAGAGUUAAUGAGCUAUCUCCCGAAAAUGAGGCCAUAAGAUACAUCUUCAGCAUACUUGAGCUUCUUCUCUAGCUCAGGUCCAGUUCCAAAUCCAAUGAUAUCAACAAAGCUUAAAGAAGGUUUCUUUGACUCAGAUUUGUACCUACCAUCUUCAAACAAUCCAAGCACUACGCCUAUCCACACCAUAAGAAAACAAUAAACCCCACAAAUCUGACUCAAACUUGCGUCAUAUGAGUUUCCAAAGACUCGAACUUGUGUUACCUGAAGCUAAAGCUGAUGCAGAGCUAAGCUUGGAUACAUUAUCAUGAGAGGAGAGAGCAACAACAACGCUGCUAGAUUGUGAAGCCUUUACAACCGUAGCAACAGCUUCACCAAGCCCCUGAAAAGCCGCCGCGGAUGAAGCGGACUGUCCUAGGCCGAUCAAACCGAUCAGUUUCACGCCUAAACCGGGAACUCUAAGAACCGUUGACUGACCCGGUUUACCGGCGAAAUACUCUUCCGGCGAGACCAAAGCCAAGAGUCCACUCAAGUGAGUAUCGAGCUUGUUCAAGAUCGGGUUCUCGAAACUUUGAGGUUGCGUCUCUCGUCAAGAGGAUGACAUAGUAAUGAACCCUAAUCUCAUUUGUCUAUAUAAGAUUUGGGCUUCAAUCAAUAAAAGCCCAGUUCAAAGCAAAUAAUACAGAAACAGGCGACAAGAAAAAAUCGAGAGUGUAUUAGUGUGCCGCCACGUGUCACAAAAAGCCACUGUCUCUCUGAUGAUGUGGAGGACUAAGGAGAGAGACAAGCCAACUUUAUUAUAUAAGAUAUAUACAAAUUUAUAAUUGAAAAUAAAAUAUUUAUAUAAAAAUAAAUGAAAACAAAAAUGUGCGUGGUUGCACGGAUCAAAAUCUAGUAACACAUUAUAAUUCAAACAUUAACUCACGCUAAAACUAAUUCAUGAAUGAUAACAUUUUUUUGAAGGAAUGUAAAAUUUAUUUCAGUCAAAAACAUUAUUACAAUAAAUGUGACUUUGGAAUGAUAACAUUUUUUGAAUUACACUCUUAACUCAAAUUUUAAUGAAAAUUAACUCAUGUUGCCAAUCAAAAGCAUGUAUAUAGUAACACUAACAUCAAAUUUUGACUGAAUAUAUAUUUAUGUUUAUUUUAUUUUUGGUGGGUGGGGGAGAUUAAAUGUAUAUAUUCUACUUGCAUGACUCCACACAAAAUAGAGAUAAUCAUGCAUGUACAAAAUACAUGUACUGUAUAUAUAUAAAAGUCAAAAGAUUUUUUUCCAAAAACAACUAUCAGCUAAUAUGAAAGAUUCGUAUAUGAUAAAAAAAAAAAAAAAAAAAUUGGAUAGUAAUUUGAAACUUCUUAAAAGAAAAGAAUGAAAAAUCAUAUAAAUAGAUCCCUUCAUCAAUAACUAGAUAACACAUAACAUAUUUUCUUCUCAGCAAAAAUAAAACUACGAAAAUUACAAUGGAUAUCACAAAAAUCUCAAUCACCCUUUUCUUGGUGAUGACAUUGGCAAUUUCAUCCAACUGUGAAGUUCUGGCCGCAUCAAGUAUAAUCAUUCUUCCCAAAAGAUUUCAUUAUUUUUAUUAUUAUUAUUUUUUAUCUUUGAACAUUUUGAAAGAAGAACUUAUUAUAUAUGUGAUAGAAUUUGCGAUAACCAUGUAUAUGGAUGUGUAAGAACUUUGAUUUGCCAAAAGAAGUACAACUAUUAUUUGGAUAUGGUAUAUAUGAUUAUAAUCUUAACCUUGGUUGUGUAAAGGUGAAGUAAAUAAGACAACAAACUAUGGAGAAUGCAUUUAUGAGGAGCUUUGUGAGAUGGGAAAGUCCGGAACUCAUGAAUGCUUCGUUAAGUGUUCUAAGAAGAAUAAGAAGUACACAGGAGGAAAAUGUAUUCCAAAAAAUCCAGAAUAUGGAUAUUGUUGUUGCACCAUAUAAAUAAUGUUGUUUUGAUAUCAUGUUGUUUUAAAUAUAUAUAUAUAUAUAUAUUUUCUUUAUUGAUGGUUCUCAACUUUAAUGGGUUUUUCAUUCAGUGAAAAUAAAAAUAAAAACCUAUUUAUCAUAAACUUUAUUACACGAGGCACCCAAAAUUUAUUGGGUUCGUUCUUUCUUAGAUCUUUGUUAAAUGAAGCAAAGCUUGGUAGCUUCAUCAUAAGAGAUGUAAUAUAUUGUUAGUUAGUUUAGGUCUUUAGAUUAUACUUUGUGUUAUUUGUAUAUCUAAAACUUAUAGUUUAGGUUUCUAUAUUAGAAAUUUAGAUUAUAGUUUUGUGUUAUUUGUAUAUUAAAUUAGGAUUUGUUAAUUUAUGAUUUGGUAGUUUAUGUAUGAUUUGUUAGUUUAGGUUGUUAGAUUAUAAUUUUGUGUUAUUUUAUUAUUAAAAGUGUUACUGUAUAUAUAUAUAUUUAAAAAUAUUAUUUUAAAUAGUUUUAAAAUUUAAAACGUUUAAAAUUAGUAAAAUGAUAUGAGACAUAUAAUUUUUGAUAAAAGAUUUGAUAACUCGGGACUGGAAUUAUAAAAGGCUAGUGGCUUUCCUCAUCUUUUACUCUAUAUUAUGACAUUUGACUUAUUAGGCUAGAACACAAAACAAGAUGUAGACAACAUUAGGAAGAGCAACCAAAAGAAAGACUUUUGAUCCUCAAUAAUGUCGAGACAAAAAAAAAACAGACAAGGAUAUAUCCCCACAUGCUUGGUAGUUUCUUGGUGCACAAGAACAUUUGACUAUUCGCAUUUUCUUGUGUCACAAACAUAUCCUAAAUUACAUGUCCCUCUAUAAAUAUAUCCACACAUGCUUGGUAAUUUUACAAUUCAUCAAAAUCUCAAAGCAAAAUACGCAAAAAUGAAGAGAGAAGGUCGUCAACACAGCUUCGUUAGGACCGGGAUGAUUCACCAGUCGGGAUUUAAUCCGAGUCCCUCCAAUAAAUUUGUGAAUCGGCUUGAUUCACCACCCGCUUUUGGAGUAUUUACCAAAGUACCAUCAAAGCCUACCAAUCAUUCAAAAUCCACAAGAAAAUGUGAGCGUGCCAAGUACAGUAAAUGCCAUGUGUCACCGGCUAUGAAGUCUGCCGUUACAUCCAAGGGUGGCCAAAAGUUAAAGUCGACCGAUUGGUGGGUUGAGGGUAAGCUAAACCAGCUGAUCGGGUCGGACUCCUCCUCUACUAGUGAUAUUUUGGAUACAUUAUGUGGUGAAGAUUAUAGUGGUCAUGUUUAUGAUUAUGAUUGUUAAUCAUCUCAUUAAGAAAUUCGAAAGUUGUUAUUUUUCUUAUAUGCUUGACUUAGAGAACAUUUGUAAUACUGGUUACGGAAACAAAAAGAAAACAAAUGUUAUAGCUACGGGGGAAAAAUGUUAUAUACAGUAGUCGAGUCAAUGCAAAUUUUGAUUAGAAUGAUAAUGGGCCAUAGUAUCAUAAUCAUAUCUUUGACCACAUAUAUUGUAUUCCGCAUUUAACAUUCUAAAGAACCAUACAUGCAAAACGUACAAAUAUAUGUAUGGGAGAUUCAGGAUGGUUAAAAUAAAAUAAAUUAUCGAGAGAAUGAAAAAUUCAUAUAAAUAGAGCUUCACCAACAAAAAAUCAUAGAAAAACUACAACGUUCUGGCCGAGUCAGGUAUAACGAUUCUUACGGAAUGAUUCUUUAUUUAUUUUGUUAUAUCUUAGUUAAUUUUUUACUAAAUUGUUAUAUCUUAACUAUCCUUGAACAUUUUGAAAGCAGUAUAUGAACUUUUUUUUUUUGUGAAAAAAAACACAUAUGAUAGAAUCCGUGAUAGCCAUUUAUAUGGAUGUGUAAGAACUUUAGUUUACCAAAAUAAAAUAAAUAUUAGAUGGACAUGGUAUAUAAGAUUAUAGCCUUAACCUUAGUUGUGUUUAUAUGUGCAGUGAGUUAGACAACCAAAUAUGGAGAAUGCAUUUAUGAUGAUUUUUGUAAGGUGGGAAAGUCCGGAACUCAUGAAUGCUUCGUUAAGUGUCUAAAGACGGGAAAGAACAAGAAGAAGUAUAUUGGAGAAGAAUGUGUUCCAAAAUCUCCACAAUAUGGAUAUUAUUGUUGCAUCAAACGAUAGAUGUACAUCUUCUUUUUAGAGUUUACUGUCCAUUUGUACGAUGAAUAAUAAUGUUUUUCAGUAUCAUGUUUACAUAAACCAGCUACUUAUAAACAAAAUGAGCUCCAAAAUCUCCAAGAUGAAAAUGUUUUUCAGUAUCAUGUUGCAUCAUAUCAUAGAUGUAAACCUUGUUUUCCUUAUUUCUGGUUGCGAUGUCCAUAACUUUCGACCUCAUUAUCUCUUUUGUUACCACAGAACUUUUGAUUGGGUUCUUUCUUUCUUAGAUCUUUGUUUCUAGCGUCUAGAGUUUUAGUUAGGUGUUUAGUAUGUAUUGAAACGUGAUUGACAGUAAAUGAAACAAAAUUAGGAACUUUAGGCUAGAACACAAAACAUGAUGUGGACAUCUUUAGAAAAAGCAACAAACAACAGACUUUUAAAUUAUCAGAUAAUGUGGAGAAAAAAGAAGAAAAUAAUUCUUGGCGAACAAGUGCAUCUGACUAUUCGCAUUUUCUUGUGUCCCAAACAUAUUUGGUAUAACCCUCAAUUAUGUCCCUCUAUAAAUAUAUCCACACAUGCAUUGGUAUUUUUACAAUUCAUCAAAGUCUCAAAGCAAAAUAAGCAAAAAUGAAAAAGGAAGGUCAUCAACACGGUUUCGUUCGGACCGGGAUGAUUCAUCCGCCAGGAUUUAGUCCAAGACCCUCCAACCAAUUCAUGAACCGGCUUGAUUCGCCACCGGCUUCAGGAGAACAUACCAAAGUGCCAUCAAAACCUACCCACCAUUCUAAAUUUACAGGAAAACAUGAGCGUUCCAAGUAUAGCAAUUGCCAUGUAUUGCCGGCUAUGAAGUCUGCUGACACAUCCAAGGGUCGCCAAAAGUUAAAGUCGACAGAUUGGUGGGUUGAUGAUAAGCUAGAUCGGCUCACCGGUUCGGGUGCCUCCUCUGCUAGAGAUAUUUUGGAUACAAUAGGUGGUGAAGGUUAUGGUGGUCAUGAUUAUGAUGAUGACGAUGACUGUUAAUCAUUUCAUCAAGAAACUUGAAAGUUGUUUUUUUCUUAUAUGUUGAAUUAGAUAACAUCUGUAAGACUAGUUUCGAAAAUAAAAAUGAAACAGCUAUGGAAAGAAAAAAGAAGAAGAUAUUUUCGAAUCAAUGCAAAAGUAUGAUAGAGUGCAACAUUAUUUAGUAUAAAGUUUUUCUAUAGAGUUUUUCUUGGGUUCACCCUUUAGAAUGAACAUGUACAUGUUAACCAACCAAUAAAAUUUAGUUAUUUUAGAUUCAGAUUUUUUUUAAAGAAAAUAAAAUAAUAAGAAUUUGUCAAGUUAUAUUAUAUUUUUAAAAUAAAUAAAAAUAAAUAAUAAUUACCAAUUUUUUUAACAUUGUUAACGCUAUCACGAAAACACUAAAUCAUAAACUUUAAAUCCUAAACCCUUAGGUAAACUCUAGAUCUUUGGGUAAACUCUAAACUUUUGGAUAAAUCCUAAACCUUAAAUCAUAAACAUCAAAAACUAAAUAUUAAAAACUCUAAAUCCUAAAUAGUAAACCCUAAACUCUUGGGAUUUAUGAUUUAUCCAAAGAUUCAAAGUUUAUGGUUAAGGAUCUAGGGUUUAUUAUUUUUAAAAUAUAGUUUUAAUGUUUAUGAUUUAUAGUUUAGGAUUUAUCCAAGAGUUUAUGUUUUAUCCGAGAGUUUAGAAUUUAAAAUUUAGGAUUUAGUUAUUUGCUAACGGAUUUAACACUAUUAAAAAAUUAUUUUUUGGUAAUUAUUAACAUUUUUAUUUAAAAAUAAUAAUAUAACUUGACAAAUUGUUAUUAUCUUGUUUUUUUUAAAAGAUAUUGAGUCUUAGAUAACUAAAUUCUAUUGGUUGAUGAACUUAAGGGUAUACUCAAGAAAAACUCUUUAAUAUAACAAUACAAAAAACAAAAGGGCAAAGACCCAAAACCUGAAGUAUUGGAUUCAUUUCUCUGAAUAAAUAGACUAAUCCAACAAUCCUCUUUAUAUCCUCCCGAGUGAUUUAGGAAUGUUCAUUACAUAGAAGAUUAUUGAAACUAAAAUCAAAAGCUAUUACUCUUGAUCAAAGUUUUAUUGACCAGAUGUGAAUAUCUGAAUAAAACAAACCAUUCUAUCAAUUACUUUACUUUGGAACAAAAUAAUUAAAAUUAGCUUUAGAUCUGAUUCACUGGAAUGUGUACUAUUUUCAGUGGAUUUUUCAAAGGAAUAGUAUUUCUAAUUAUUUCCGUUUCUUUCUUAUAUAUGGUAUUGUUAUUUUAAAUAAAAUAUGAUGUGGACAUCUUUAGAAAGAGCAACAAAAAAAGACUUUUAAAUUAUCAGAUAAUGUGGAGAAAAAAGUAGAAUAUAAUACUAAUUUCUUGGCGACCAAGUGCAUCUGACUAUUCGCAUUUUCUUGUGUCCCAAACAUAUUUGGUAUAACCCUCAAUUAUAUGUCCUUCUAUAAAUAUAUCCACACAUGCAUUGGUAGUUUUACAAUUCAUCAAAGUCUCAAAGCAAAAUAAGCAAAAAUGAAAAAGGAAGGUCGUCAACACGGCUUCGUUCGGACUGGGAUGAUUCAUCCGCCAGGAUUUAGUCCAAGACCCUCCAACCAAUUCAUGAACCGGCUUGAUUCGCCACCGGCUUCACGAGAAUUUACCAAAGUGACCAUCAAAACCUACCAACCAUUCUAAAUUUACAGGAAAAAAUGAGCGUUCCAAGUAUAGCAACUGCCAUGUGUCGCCGGCUAUGAUGUCUGCUGACACAUCCAAGGGUCGCCAACAGUUAAAGUCAAUAGAUUGGUGGGUUGAUGAUAAGCUAGA
Molecule: long non-coding RNA, 9340 nt
Filed under: Brassica rapa (field mustard)
Lineage: Eukaryota; Viridiplantae; Streptophyta; Magnoliopsida; Brassicales; Brassicaceae
Description: long non-coding RNA (BRAP_LNC003211)
Source: RNAcentral